This 490-nucleotide ribosomal RNA is filed under the name uncultured prokaryote. RNAcentral describes it as "partial 16S ribosomal RNA". The record is from RNAcentral.
CCUACGGGGGGCUGCUCCAGGCCGAAGCUGCGCAAGAGCAGGGGGUGCAGCUCUCCAAAGCAGCCGAUCCUCUUGCCUUCUGCGAAGAGGUCCGCCCCCCUUCCCGGCAUAAAAGCUCUGUCCUUGGUGGGAACGAUAUCCGCCUCGAGGUCCAUCUCCCUCAAGACGGCAUCCACAACCGACCUGAUCUCUGAAUAAUUCGCCCCGCUGUGAAUGGAUGCAGCAGCCAGAUUCAUCCUGGUCUUCUUGUCUUUCACCACAUCCCCGGCAGCGAAUAUCCUCUGGGGAAGAGGAUGAUGCUGAUUGAGGGCGAAGAUCUCCAGAAGGGAGCUGAGAAGCGAGGUACGGAGGAUGGUAUGCAGCUCGCUUAUGGGGUGCAGCACCCGCACCGCUCCCGCCGCCUCCGGAGCAGCAGAUCGGCGCAUCCACUGGAAGUGCACCAACUCAUUGGUCAGGGUGAAGGGCAUGGUCUCCAGAUACCCUAGUAGUC